Molecule: long non-coding RNA, 1648 nt
Organism: Ornithodoros turicata
Lineage: Eukaryota; Metazoa; Arthropoda; Arachnida; Ixodida; Argasidae
Exons: 7
Source: RefSeq, a predicted model, not a curated record
UGGAAGCCCGCGCAAUUCUUUCCUCGUAGACGCAUGAGACGCUCCGUGAAGUUUUAAGUGUUUGGAAGUGCAUCUAGUGUUUGGUCUUUGGCCGACUGUACCCCCGCAAAGCAAAGGUGAUAUACGGGUGCACUUUGUUGCUGCAGAAAUUUUCUUCUCGCCGAGCUCUUUUCGACCAUCUGCUAUCACAUGAAGAUUUUGCAAGUGGUGUUCCUUGUACCAUAGAGGGGCGUAAUGCUGCUUCCAAGAACUAUAGAACCAAUUCCUCCAUGCCAAACACGCCAACACAUUCAACACAAAAAGUAUUGUCUUGAAAGUUUUGUUCUGUGGCUUCUUGCAGCCAGCCGUGUGGACAGUGAAGAAGCAGAUAUUGCACGCUGAAAACAUCACCUCAUCACAGAUGCAUCGUGCACUAAUAUCGCUGCUCAGCCAUGAUUAUGGAGAAAGUUCCAUAUGAGAGGUACAUAUCUGUGAUGCGGCAGACUGUGAGUCAACCUACGUGACCCCUGGUCAAUUCACAGUGCCUACACUGGACGUAGCCGCCAGAGCCCUCAGGGUAGUUCGGACAGAAGCCAGCACGAGACAGAGUCAUACAAGGUUGUAAUAAGAAACUUUACUGUGAGCAUGGCCGUUUCUGAAGAUCAGGAGUAGAGAUCAUAAAACGAAAAACUUUGUGUCAGUAACAUGUCUUGAGGAGCUAAUCAGAGUUGCUGUGGGUCAUGGAAUUUGUCAGGAGGGCAACAUACAGGUGUAUUUAAUGGAUGAGUUAUCACUUCGCUCUAUGGUUGCUGGUGCUGAGAAAUGCCUCGAUGACAUUUUCAUUGUUAAAAAUUGACUAUGGAAACAAGAUCAGUCAACAUGUGUGAGUGCACCUUCACCACUCCCACAAAUGCCUCUGCUCUCACGAAUUUAUUACCCUUGGGAGAGCCUCAGCAAGACAGUACUUGAUGCAUUGGAAGCAGACAAUGUUCUGCUUCCCUCUCAACGACAGGAAGUGGCACACAUGGCAGCGUCAUGGCCCUGCAUAUCCAUUGAAGGUGGGAGGCACUCCUGAUAUUUAUUCACAGGUAUAUUUGCUGUUUGCAUGGCUUACCUGGAUAGAGUACAGCAGAUAUAAAAAAAAUGUUGUGACAUGCAUUGAAAUAUUGUAGGAGAGCAUAUCACAUACUGGUAAAAUAUUGCAUUUUGAAACUCACGUGAUGUAGUAGAGUAACAAAAAACUGGUUUGUAAGUUUAGAUGGUGCUGUAGCUUAGAUUAUCUGCGGGCCUGUCUUGCAAGAACCCUCAUAUUUACUCGGCUGGUACGAUACAUACUGCAGUAAAUACAGCAGGCGAUGUAACACAUACAGAGGCCAUAUCAACUGCUAACCUUUCACAGACAUUCAUAUGCUUCACAUAUGGUGGUGUCUCUGCCAUGCUGAACUAUGCUCAUAAGCAUGUUUCACGGAUGAAAAAAAAAUCCUAUCUAUGUGCUCAGAAAUUUGUUGUGCCAUUUGCAGUGGUGGACGUGUAGUGUUCUUCAUAAACUUAUUUGGAAUAGUUGGUAGAGAAAUGGAGUGAUUGUCCUGAUCAUUACACCAUGUGAAACUAAGAAUAUUUCAUGCAAUUAUUUUGAAUACUCAUAAGGAAAUUUUAUUAAUUGGUUGUG